CUGAGUGCAAACUAGCUCCAGAAACUCUACCCUGCAAAAGAAGCUUCAGUGAGAUAACCCAAUCACAAAAAGAUAAACAUGACAGUCUGGAUCCAUUUAAGCCACUUUCCCCUAACUCCUCCCACUUCAGCCCCUGGAAACUGCUCACCUGCUUUGUGUGAUGCUGUGACAAAUGAAAGCAGUUUUAUUUAUGACCAGCUUGGGAGACACUGUAUCCAAUUCAAAGAUCCUGAUGGCAAUAACUGUUCAUGACAUUGAACCAGCCAUGGAAGCCUUCUGUGAGUCUGUUUCCCCAGGCUGCAAAUGAGACUGAUGACACCUGCUUCACGUUUAAUAGUGUUUGAUAUGUAUUAGGUAGUCAAUAAAUAAUAGUAAAC
Molecule: long non-coding RNA, 377 nt
Filed under: Cricetulus griseus (Chinese hamster)
Lineage: Eukaryota; Metazoa; Chordata; Mammalia; Rodentia; Cricetidae
Description: lncRNA (ENSCGRG00015030599.1)
Source: RNAcentral